This 153-nucleotide unclassified non-coding RNA is filed under the name Chaetomium nozdrenkoae. Its description in RNAcentral is "partial internal transcribed spacer 2". Lineage: Eukaryota; Fungi; Ascomycota; Sordariomycetes; Sordariales; Chaetomiaceae. The record is from RNAcentral.
CAACCAUCAAGCCCCCGGCUUGUGUUGGGGACCUGCGGCUGCCGCAGGCCCUGAAAAGCAGUGGCGGGCUCGCUGUCACACCGAGCGUAGUAGCAUACAUCUCGCUCUGGGCGUGCUGCGGGUUCCGGCCGUAAAACCACCUUCAUAACCCAA